Molecule: long non-coding RNA, 975 nt
Filed under: Sinocyclocheilus grahami
Lineage: Eukaryota; Metazoa; Chordata; Actinopteri; Cypriniformes; Cyprinidae
Description: lncRNA (ENSSGRG00000020089.1)
Source: RNAcentral
CCAGAUCCCAAGAAGGACUUUACCAUUUCCGCCUGCUGUGUCUCCCGCACCGGGACGUUACUGUUAAAUAUUCCUCACAGUUCAUCUUUGCCCUCUUACUGCUCUCUGGCCCCUCCACUUCCUGUUGGUAAAGGGGCAACUCUGUUGAUUUACGGCUUGGUGAGUGAGGUAGGUGAAGGUAAUUUAUAGCCCAGGAACCCUCUGCCCGGUCUGAGCUGGACAGGACAGUCUAUUUAUACUCUUUGACAGGGGUGUCUGGGGAGCAGUGAAAGUAGCAGUGAGGAGAAAGGAGAGGAAUACCACACGACUAUGUUUGGACCACAAUGGCAGCUGGGUUGCUCGCAAGUAUUGGUUCAGAUGAGUCUCCUCAGGUCCUGUCUCCCUGGUCUGAAUCUAUAACCCAGCUAAUGAAGAGAUUAGAUCAGCUCAAUCUGUACAUAGAGGAAGCUCUCAGCGCUGGCUCUUCCCCUUCCCACACACCCAACACCACCCGGAGACACACCACUAAUGACAGAGCAUCCCUGCAGAGUGGAGCUGUAGGGGUGAACCAGUCCCUCAACUUGAACAACAUGGCUAGAAGAAACGACACAAGGGAACGGCAUGGCCAAGAGAGACAUGCGGGAGCCACUUCCUCUCAGGGGAGAUCACAUGGUAAAAAGACAGAGAUGUCCAUCAAGAAGAGGCAUGGAGGCGCAGGUGAGUUCUCAUUUUCCUUUAUGUAUCAAACUGGGCUGGCAAUAAGACAUGUUUGGAUGUAAUAGGCACAGUAAUGUUUUUUGGUGCAUUUAUCAGACUGGGUAAAUGCGUUUGACAUUUGAGGUGUAAAAGAACCUCUUGUCAUGCAGUUUCUGAAAGUUAUAGGCCUAUAUAAACUUGUAUCCCCUACAUUAAGAUAUCCUACAUAUUUUUUUCUAAUCAGUUAAGAGAUGUUCACUAAUUAGACCAGUUUAUUGUUGAGCUCUUUAAUACUUGGAC